RNAcentral lists this ribosomal RNA (781 nucleotides) under Cellulomonas terrae. RNAcentral describes it as "bacterial SSU rRNA". It matches the Rfam family "Bacterial small subunit ribosomal RNA", at positions 68 to 859 of the family's 1533-position model. Lineage: Bacteria; Bacillati; Actinomycetota; Actinomycetes; Micrococcales; Cellulomonadaceae. The record is from RNAcentral.
GGUGAUGGCCAGCUUGCUGGUCUGAUCAGUGGCGAACGGGUGAGUAACACGUGAGCAACCUGCCCUUCACUCUGGGAUAAGCCCUGGAAACGGGGUCUAAUACCGGAUACGAGACGUACACGCAUGUGUAGCGUCUGGAAAGAUUUAUCGGUGGGGGAUGGGCUCGCGGCCUAUCAGCUUGUUGGUGGGGUAGUGGCCUACCAAGGCGACGACGGGUAGCCGGCCUGAGAGGGCGACCGGCCACACUGGGACUGAGACACGGCCCAGACUCCUACGGGAGGCAGCAGUGGGGAAUAUUGCACAAUGGGCGCAAGCCUGAUGCAGCGACGCCGCGUGAGGGAUGACGGCCUUCGGGUUGUAAACCUCUUUCAGCAGGGAAGAAGCGCAAGUGACGGUACCUGCAGAAGAAGCGCCGGCUAACUACGUGCCAGCAGCCGCGGUAAUACGUAGGGCGCAAGCGUUGUCCGGAAUUAUUGGGCGUAAAGAGCUCGUAGGCGGUUUGUCGCGUCUGCUGUGAAAACCUAAGGCUCAACCUUGGGCUUGCAGUGGGUACGGGCAGACUAGAGUGCGGUAGGGGUGACUGGAAUUCCUGGUGUAGCGGUGGAAUGCGCAGAUAUCAGGAGGAACACCGAUGGCGAAGGCAGGUCACUGGGCCGCAACUGACGCUGAGGAGCGAAAGCAUGGGGAGCGAACAGGAUUAGAUACCCUGGUAGUCCAUGCCGUAAACGUUGGGCACUAGGUGUGGGGCUCAUUCCACGAGUUCCGUGCCGCAGCAAACGCA